This 468-nucleotide ribosomal RNA is filed under the name uncultured bacterium. RNAcentral describes it as "partial 16S ribosomal RNA". It matches the Rfam family "Bacterial small subunit ribosomal RNA", at positions 28 to 507 of the family's 1533-position model. The record is from RNAcentral.
GACGAACGCUGGCGGCGUGCUUAACACAUGCAAGUCGAACGGAAAGGCCCUGCUUUUGUGGGGUGCUCGAGUGGCGAACGGGUGAGUAACACGUGAGUAACCUGCCCUUGACUUUGGGAUAACUUCAGGAAACUGGGGCGAAUACCGGAUAGGAGCUCCUGCUGCAUGGUGGGGGUUGGAAAGUUUCGGCGGUUGGGGAUGGACUCGCGGCUUAUCAGCUUGUUGGUGGGGUAGUGGCGUACCAAGGCUUUGACGGGUAGCCGGCCUGAGAGGGUGACCGGCCACAUUGGGACUGAGAUACGGCCCAGACUCCUACGGGAGGCAGCAGUGGGGAGUAUUGCGCAAUGAGCGGAAGCCUGAUACAGCAACGCCGCGUGCGGGAUGACGGCCUUCGGGUUGUAAACCGCUUUCGCCUGUGACGAGGCGUGAGUGACGGUAAUGGGUAAAGAAGCACCGGCUAACUACGUG